This 405-nucleotide ribosomal RNA is filed under the name uncultured Bdellovibrio sp. RNAcentral's name for it is "bacterial SSU rRNA". It matches the Rfam family "Bacterial small subunit ribosomal RNA", at positions 355 to 774 of the family's 1533-position model. The record is from RNAcentral. Lineage: Bacteria; Pseudomonadati; Bdellovibrionota; Bdellovibrionia; Bdellovibrionales; Pseudobdellovibrionaceae.
UAGGGAAUAUUGCACAAUGGAGGAAACUCUGAUGCAGCGACGCCGCGUGAGUGACGAAGGCCUUCGGGUUGUAAAGCUCUGUUCUCAGGGAAAAAGAAAGUGAUUGUACCUGAGAAGAAAGGACCGGCUAACUUCGUGCCAGCAGCCGCGGUAAGACGAGGGGUCCAAGCGUUGUUCGGAAUCAUUGGGCGUAAAGCGGGUGUAGGUGGCUCUAUAAGUCAGAAGUGAAAGCCCUGAGCUUAACUCAGGAAGUGCUUUUGAUACUGCAGAGCUUGAAUGUGGGAGAGGGUAGUGGAAUUCCAGGUGUAGUGGUGAAAUACGUAGAUAUCUGGAGGAACACCGGUGGCGAAGGCGGCUACCUGGCCCAACAUUGACACUGAGACCCGAAAGCGUGGGGAUCAAACA